UUUUAUUUGAGAGUUUGAUCCUGGCUCAGGAUGAACGCUGGCGGCGUGCCUAACACAUGCAAGUCGAACGAAGCGCCUUUUAAGAUUCUUCGGAUGAUUGAUUGGUGACUGAGUGGCGGACGGGUGAGUAACGCGUGGGUAACCUGCCCUGUACAGGGGGAUAACAGUUGGAAACGGCUGCUAAUACCGCAUAAGCGCACGAGAGGACAUCCUUUCGUGUGAAAAACUCCGGUGGUACAGGAUGGGCCCGCGUCUGAUUAGCUGGUUGGCAGGGUAACGGCCUACCAAGGCGACGAUCAGUAGCCGGUCUGAGAGGAUGAACGGCCACAUUGGAACUGAGACA
RNAcentral lists this ribosomal RNA (343 nucleotides) under Anaerobutyricum soehngenii. RNAcentral describes it as "bacterial SSU rRNA". It matches the Rfam family "Bacterial small subunit ribosomal RNA", at positions 1 to 326 of the family's 1533-position model. The record is from RNAcentral. Lineage: Bacteria; Bacillati; Bacillota; Clostridia; Lachnospirales; Lachnospiraceae.